This 1319-nucleotide ribosomal RNA is filed under the name uncultured Pelagibacterales bacterium. Its description in RNAcentral is "uncultured SAR11 cluster alpha proteobacterium 16S ribosomal RNA". It matches the Rfam family "Bacterial small subunit ribosomal RNA", at positions 60 to 1426 of the family's 1533-position model. Lineage: Bacteria; Pseudomonadati; Pseudomonadota; Alphaproteobacteria; Candidatus Pelagibacterales. The record is from RNAcentral.
AGUCGAACGAAGUAGCAAUACUUAGUGGCAGACGGGUGAGUAACAUGUAGGUAUCUGCCCUUUGGCCUGGAAUAACACGAGGAAACUUGUGCUAAUACCGGAUAAGUCUUUACGGAGAAAGCUUAAUGCACCAUUGGAUGAGCCUGCACUUGAUUAGUUUGUUGGUGGGGUAAUGGCCUACCAAGACUUUGAUCAAUAGCUGAUUUGAGAGGAUGAUCAGCCACAUUGGGACUGAGACACGGCCCAAACUCCUACGGGAGGCAGCAGUGGGGAAUCUUGCACAAUGGAGGAAACUCUGAUGCAGCGAUGCCGCGUGAGUGAAGAAGGCCUUUGGGUUGUAAAGCUCUUUCGUCGGGGAAGAAAAUGACUGUACCCGAAUAAGAAGGUCCGGCUAACUUCGUGCCAGCAGCCGCGGUAAUACGAAGGGACCUAGCGUAGUUCGGAAUUACUGGGCUUAAAGAGUUCGUAGGUGGUUGAAAAAGUUGGUGGUGAAAUCCCAGAGCUUAACUCUGGAACUGCCAUCAAAACUUUUCAGCUAGAGUAUGAUAGAGGAAAGCAGAAUUUCUAGUGUAGAGGUGAAAUUCGUAGAUAUUAGAAAGAAUACCAAUUGCGAAGGCAGCUUUCUGGAUCAUUACUGACACUGAGGAACGAAAGCAUGGGUAGCGAAGAGGAUUAGAUACCCUCGUAGUCCAUGCCGUAAACGAUGUGUGUUAGACGUUGGAAAUUUAUUUUCAGUGUCGCAGCGAAAGCGAUAAACACACCGCCUGGGGAGUACGACCGCAAGGUUAAAACUCAAAUGAAUUGACGGGGACCCGCACAAGUAGUGGAGCAUGUGGUUUAAUUCGAAGAUACGCGCAGAACCUUACCAACACUUGACAUGUUCGUCGCGACUUUAAGAGAUUAAAGUUUUCGGUUCGGCCGGACGAAACACAGGUGCUGCAUGGCUGUCGUCAGCUCGUGUCGUGAGAUGUUGGGUUAAGUCCCGCAACGAGCGCAACCCUCACUUUUAGUUGCCAUCAUUAAGUUGGGCACUCUGAAAGAACUGCCAGUGAUAAGCUGGAGGAAGGUGGGGAUGACGUCAAGUCCUCAUGGCCCUUACGUGUUGGGCUACACACGUGCUACAAUGGUAUCUACAACAGGAAGCAAGACUGCGAAGUUAAGCAAAUCCCUAAAAGAUACCUCAGUUCGGAUUGCACUCUGCAACUCGAGUGCAUGAAGCUGGAAUUACUAGUAAUCGUGGAUCAGCGUGCCACGGUGAAUGCGUUCCCGGGUCUUGUACACACCGCCCGUCACACCAUGGGAGUUGGUUCUACCUUAAG